CAGCCGUAAACUAUGCGCGUUAGGUGUACUGGUGACCACGAGUCACCGGGGUGCCGAAGGGAAACCGUGAAACGUGCCGCCUGGGAAGUACGGUCGCAAGGCUGGAACUUAAAGGAAUUGGCGGGGGGAGCACCACAACGGGUGGAGCCUGCGGUUUAAUUGGACUCAACGCCGGAAAUCUCACCGGAUAGGACAGACAUAUGAUAGUCGGGCUGAAGACUCUACUUGAUGAUCUGAGAGGAGGUGCAUGGCGUCAGUGACU
RNAcentral lists this ribosomal RNA (262 nucleotides) under uncultured archaeon. Its description in RNAcentral is "partial 16S ribosomal RNA". It matches the Rfam family "Archaeal small subunit ribosomal RNA", at positions 748 to 1008 of the family's 1478-position model. The record is from RNAcentral.